Molecule: non-coding RNA, 433 nt
Organism: Theobroma cacao (cacao)
Lineage: Eukaryota; Viridiplantae; Streptophyta; Magnoliopsida; Malvales; Malvaceae
Source: RefSeq, a predicted model, not a curated record
CUUCUGUAGUGGGAGAUAUACUUGAAAAACCGAAACAUAUGCAAACCGAGAAUGCCUUUUGCUGCAGCGAGAAACGUGUUGUCACGUUGCUACCUUGCUCAGAUCAGGAGGCAUUUGGAACCUAGGUUGAGGUGUCCACAUAGACUCGUCUCUUUGGUAGGUAUCUCAACAUUCAAUAGCUGUACCUUCGCCAAGGUCGCUCCGUUGGAAGUCGAGUGUCUUUAUGCUGUAUAUAGAUAAAUGAAAUGUAAAUUUUUAAGAUACUUGUCUUAGACAAUAUAUAUAUAUACUUUGAAUGGUAACGCUACUAUGAGUUAGCAAUGGUUAGCACCAUUUUGGGUUAAUAUAUAUAUGUGAGUAUUUGAUCAUUGUAGCAUAUCAUUCAAGUACUUGCAGUUGAGAUCAUGAAAUGUGACUUUAGGAAUUUUCGAUA